AUUGAACGCUGGCGGCAGGCCUAACACAUGCAAGUCGAGCGGAUGAAGGGAGCUUGCUCCUGGAUUCAGCGGCGGACGGGUGAGUAAUGCCUAGGAAUCUGCCUGGUAGUGGGGGAUAACGUCCGGAAACGGGCGCUAAUACCGCAUACGUCCUGAGGGAGAAAGUGGGGGAUCUUCGGACCUCACGCUAUCAGAUGAGCCUAGGUCGGAUUAGCUAGUUGGUGGGGUAAAGGCCUACCAAGGCGACGAUCCGUAACUGGUCUGAGAGGAUGAUCAGUCACACUGGAACUGAGACACGGUCCAGACUCCUACGGGAGGCAGCAGUGGGGAAUAUUGGACAAUGGGCGAAAGCCUGAUCCAGCCAUGCCGCGUGUGUGAAGAAGGUCUUCGGAUUGUAAAGCACUUUUAGUUGGGAGGAAGGGCAGUAAGUUAAUACCUUGCUGUUUUGACGUUACCAACAGGAUAAGCACCGGCUAACUUCGUG
RNAcentral lists this ribosomal RNA (484 nucleotides) under uncultured bacterium. Its description in RNAcentral is "partial 16S ribosomal RNA". It matches the Rfam family "Bacterial small subunit ribosomal RNA", at positions 30 to 507 of the family's 1533-position model. The record is from RNAcentral.